Tribolium castaneum (red flour beetle) is the source of this 45-nucleotide non-coding RNA. The record is from Rfam. Lineage: Eukaryota; Metazoa; Arthropoda; Insecta; Coleoptera; Tenebrionidae.
UCGACGGUUUUUUUCAGAACCACAAAAAUUUCCUAAAAAAAUUAA